Rhincodon typus (whale shark) is the source of this 497-nucleotide long non-coding RNA. RefSeq lists it as uncharacterized. The transcript has 3 exons. Lineage: Eukaryota; Metazoa; Chordata; Chondrichthyes; Orectolobiformes; Rhincodontidae. The record is from RefSeq and is a predicted model, not a curated record.
GAUGUUUGAUAAAGCCAGUGAUCCACCAGACAGCUCCCUAGAUAAGCCAGUCACACAACCUACAACUGGAUUGCCACAUCUCCAAAACUGCUGAAUGUACAUUUGAGUGAAUCCAAGCACAGAAAGCUGAAUAUCAAAUCCAACCGUAAAAAAAGUAUGGACUAAUGCUACAGACAGAAGAAUAAAUGAAUCAUCAGAACUGAUGCAGGUUUCUCAGAAGUGUUACCACACAUGACUGAACGGCUUCAUCCCACCAUCAAAUCACCUCUGGGACUUUUCAUCCACCACUACUAAAUCACCAUGUUUUCAAUUACUCAAAUUAAGUGCACUUGACAGUAUUUAAUUUAAAAUUGGCUAAUUCAUUGUAAUUGAGAGAUGAAGCCAAUUUCAGAUGGAUGUAUUAGUCGUAAUGGCAUUCUAAAGAGGUUACCUAUUUCACAGAUAUACUGUUAUGUUAUUCAGUGCCAAUAAACCAUCAACAUGAUUUUUCCAUUGUA